UAAAAACAUCAUGGGCCUAAAGCCCAAAUCCACCACUUAAACCUAUUUAAUAGAAAAUAAAAUAAAAUAAAUAAUAAUAAUAACAAAAAUAAAAUAAAAGAAUAACAUAAAAAAAGUUGUAGGAUGAAAGGGGGCGCUGCACCCCAUUGUGUAAUCCCCCCUUUUCAAAAUUCAAAACCAUCCAUUCCGUUUUCGACACGUGGCAUGGUUAUGAAAGAGAAAAAAAACAAGUACAA
RNAcentral lists this long non-coding RNA (236 nucleotides) under Lathyrus oleraceus (garden pea). RNAcentral describes it as "Pisum sativum (pea) long non-coding RNA (PSAT_LNC030945)". Lineage: Eukaryota; Viridiplantae; Streptophyta; Magnoliopsida; Fabales; Fabaceae. The record is from RNAcentral.